Molecule: long non-coding RNA, 2991 nt
Organism: Brienomyrus brachyistius
Lineage: Eukaryota; Metazoa; Chordata; Actinopteri; Osteoglossiformes; Mormyridae
Exons: 4
Source: RefSeq, a predicted model, not a curated record
AUAAAUACAGCUCUCAGGCAGAUCUCAGAUCAGGUCAUACAUACAGCUCUCAGGUUGAUCUCAGACAUCUGAUCUCAGAUCAGGUCACACAUAGGGCUGUCAAGCUGAUCUAAGAUCAGAUCAUACAUACAGCUCUGAAGCUGAUCUCAGAUCAGGUCAUACAUAUCGCUCUCAAGCUGAUCUGAGAUGUGGUCAUACAUAUAGCUAUCAAAGUGAUUUCAGAUCAGGUCAUAAAUCCAGCUCUCAGGCUGAUCCCAGAUCAGGUCAUACAUACAGCUCUCAGGCUGAUCACAGACAUCUGAUCUCAGAUCAGGUCACACAUAGAGCUCUCAAACUGAUCUCAGAUCAGGUCAUUCAUACUGCUCUGAGGCAGAUCGCAGAGAGCUGAUCUCAGAUCAGGUCACAUAUAGAGUUCUCAAACUGAUCUCAGAUCAGGUCACACAUAGAGCUCUCAAACUGAUCUCAGAUCAGGUCAUUCAUACUGCUCUGAGGCAGAUCGCAGAGAGCUGAUCUCAGAUCAGGUCACAAAUGGAGCUCUCAAGCUGAUCUCAGAUCAGAUCAUACAUACAGCUCUUAAGCUGAUCUCAGAUUAGGUCAUACAUACAGCUCUCAAGCUGAUCUCAGAUCAGGUCAUACAUACAGCUCUCAGGCUGAUCUCAGACAUCUGAUCUCAGAUCAGGUCACACAUGGAGCUCUCAAACUGAUCUCAGAUCAGGUCAUUCAUACUGCUCUCAGUCAGAUCUCAGACAGCUGAUCUCAGAUCAGGUCACAUAUAGAGCUCUAAAACUGAUCUCAGAUCAGGUCACACAUAGAGCUCUCAAGCUGAUCUCAGAUCAGGUCAUACAUACAGCUCUCAGGCUGAUCUAAGACAUCUGAUCUCAGAUCAGGUCAUAUAUAGAGCUCUCAAACUGAUCUCAGAUCAGGGCAUUUAUACAGCUCUCAGGCAGAUCUCAGACAGCUGAUCUCAGAUCAGGUCCCAUAUAGAGCUCUCAAACUGAUCUCAGAUCAGGUCACACAUAGAGCUCUCAAGCUGAUCUCAGUUCAGAUCAUACAUACAGCUCUGAAGCUGAUCUCAGAUCAGGUCAUACAUACAGCUCUCAAGCUGAUCUCAGAGCAGGUCAUUCAUACAGCUCUCAGGCAGAUCUCAGACAGCUGAUCUCAGAUCAGGUCACAUAUAGAGCUCUCAAACUGAUCUCAGAUCAGUUCAUACAUAGAGGUCUUAGGCUGAUCUCAGAACAGGUCAUACAGAGGUCUUAGGUUGAUCUCAGAUGAGGUCGCAAAUGGAGCUCUCAAGCUGAUCUCAGAUCAGGUCAUACAUACAGCUCUCAAGCUGAUCUCAGAUCAGGUCAUACAUACAGCUCUCAUGCUGAUCUCAGACAUCUGAUCUCAGAUAAGAUCACACAUAGAGCUCUCAAACUGAUCUCAGAUCAGGGCAUUCAUACAGCUCUCAGGCAGAUCUCAGACAGCUGAUCUCAGAUCAGGUCCCAUAUAGAGCUCUCAAACUGAUCUCAGAUCAGGUCACACAUAGAGCUCUCAAGCUGAUCUCAGUUCAGAUCAUACAUUCAGCUCUGAAGCUGAUCUCAGAUCAGGUCAUACAUACAGCUCUCAAGCUGAUCUCAGAUCAGGUCAUUCAUACAGCUCUCAGGCAGAUCUCAGACAGCUGAUCUCCGAUCAGGUCACAUAUAGAGCUCUCAAACUGAUCUCAGAUCAGGUCAUUCAUACUGCUCUCAGGCAGAUCUCAGAUCAGGUCAUACAUACAGAUCUCAGGUAGAUCUCAGACAGCUGCCCUCAGAUCAGGCAACAUAUAGAGCUCUCAAACUUAUCUCAGAUCAGGUCACACAUAGAGCUGUCAGGCUGAUCUCAGAUCAGAUCAUACAUACAGCUCUGAAGCUGAUCUCAGAUCAUGUCACACAUAUCGCUCUCAAGCUGAUCUCAGAUCUGGUCAUACAUAUAGCUAUCAAAGUGAUCUCAGAUCAGGUCAUGCAUAUAUCUCUCAGGCAGAUCAUAGACAGCUGAUUUCAGAUCAGGUCACAUAUAGAGCUCUCAAACUGAUCUCAGAUCAGGUCACACAUAGAGCUGUCAAGCUGAUCUCAGAUCAGAUCAUACAUACAGCUCUGAAGCAGAUCUCAGAUCAUGUCACACAUAUCGCUCUCAAGCUGAUCUCAGAUCUGGUCAUACAUAUAGCUAUCAAAGUGAUCUCAGAUCAGGUCAUACAUACAGGUCUUAGGCUGAUCUCAAAACAGGUCAUACAGAGGUCUUAGGCUGAUCUCAGAACAGCUGAUCUUAGAUCAGGUCACAAAUGGAGCUCUCAAGCUGAUCUCAGAUCAGGUCAUACAAACAGCUCUCAGGCUGAUCUCAGACAUCUGAUCUCAGAUCAGGUCACACAUAGAGCUCUCAAACUGAUCUCAGAACAGGUCAUUCAUACUGCUCUCAGGCAGAUCUCAGACAGCUGAUCUCAGAUCAGGUCACAUAUAGAGCUCUCAAACUGAUCUCAGAUCAGGUCACACAUAGAGCUCUCAAGCUGAUCUCAGACCCGAUCAUACAUACAGCUCUGAAGCUGAUCUCAGAACAGGUCAUACAGAGGUCUUAGGCUGAUCUCAGAACAGCUGAUCUCAGAUCAGAUCACAAACGGAGCUCUCAAGCUGAUCUCAGAUCAAGUAAUACAUACAGCUCUUAAGCUGAUCUCAGAUCAGGUCAUACAUACAGAUCUCAGGCUGAUCUCAGACAGCUGAUUUCAGAUCAGGUAACACUUUGAGCUCUCAAGCUGAUCUCAGAUCAGGUCAUACAUACAGCUCUCAAGCUGAUCUCAGAUCAGGUCACACAUGGAGCUCUCAAGCUGAUCUCAGAUCAGAUCAUACAUACAGCUCUGAAGCUAAUCUCAGAUCAGGUCAUACAUAAAGCUCUCAAGCUGAUCUCAGAUCAGGUCAUACAUACAGCUCUCAGGCUGAUCUCAGACAUCUGAUCUCAGAUCAGGUCACACAUAGAGCUCUC